UUCCGGUUGAUCCUGCCGGACCUGACUGCUAUCGGAUUGAUACUAAGCCAUGCGAGUCAUUGUAGUAAUACAAGGCAUACGGCUCAGUAACGCGUAGUCAACCUAACCUAUGGACGGGAAUAACCUCGGGAAACUGAGUAUAAUGCCCGAUAGAACAUUAUGCCUGGAAUGGUUUAUGUUCCAAAUGAUUUAUCGCCGUAGGAUGGGACUGCGGCCUAUCAGUUUGUUGGUGAGGUAAUGGCCCACCAAGACUAUUACAGGUACGGGCUCUGAGAGGAGUAGCCCGGAGAUGGGUACUGAGACACGGACCCAGGCCCUAUGGGGCGCAGCAGGCGAGAAAACUUUGCAAUGUGCGAAAGCACGACAAGGUUAAUCCGAGUGGUUUCUGCUAAAGGAACCUUUUGUUAGUCCUAGAAACACUAACGAAUAAGGGGUGGGCAAGUUCUGGUGUCAGCCGCCGCGGUAAAACCAGCACCUCAAGUGGUCAGGAUGAUUAUUGGGCCUAAAGCAUCCGUAGCCGGCUCUGUAAGUUUUCGGUUAAAUCUGUACGCUCAACGUACAGGCUGCCGGGAAUACUGCAGAGCUAGGGAGUGGGGGAGGUAGACGGUACUCGGGAGGAAGGGGUAAAAUCCUUUGAUCUCUCGAUGACCACCUGUGGCGAAGGCGGUCUACCAGAACACGUCCGACGGUGAGGGAUGAAAGCUGGGGGAGCAAACCGGAUUAGAUACCCGGGUAGUCCCAGCUGUAAACUAUGCAAACUCAGUGAUGCAUUGACUUGUGGUCAAUGCAGUGCUGCAGGGAAGCCGUUAAGUUUGCCGCCUGGGAAAUACGUACGCAAGUAUGAAACUUAAAGGAAUUGGCGGGGGAGCACCACAAGGGGUGAAGCCUGCGGUUCAAUUGGAUUCAACGCCGGG
This 914-nucleotide ribosomal RNA is filed under the name uncultured archaeon. RNAcentral's name for it is "bacterial SSU rRNA". It matches the Rfam family "Archaeal small subunit ribosomal RNA", at positions 1 to 922 of the family's 1478-position model. The record is from RNAcentral.